Molecule: ribosomal RNA, 270 nt
Filed under: uncultured bacterium
Lineage: Bacteria
Description: partial 16S ribosomal RNA
Rfam family: Bacterial small subunit ribosomal RNA
Source: RNAcentral
UACGUAGGGUGCGAGCGUUAAUCGGAAUUACUGGGCGUAAAGCGUGCGCAGGCGGUUCGUUAAGUUCGAUGUGAAAGCCCCGGGCUCAACCUGGGAACUGCAUUGGAAACUGGCGAGCUUGAGUGUGGCAGAGGGGGGUGGAAUUCCGCGUGUAGCAGUGAAAUGCGUAGAGAUGCGGAGGAACACCGAUGGCGAAGGCAGCCCCUGGGCCAACACUGACGCUCAGGCACGAAAGCGUGGGGAGCAAACAGGAUUAGAAACCCUUGUAGU